GCCAGGUGUGGUGGUGCACACCUGUAGUCCCAGCUAGUCGGGAGGCUGAGGCAGAAGGAUUGCUUGAACCCAGGAGCCAGAGGGAGCAGUGAGCCGAGAUCGCGCCACUGCACUCCAGCCUGGGUGACAGAGCGAGACUCUGUCUCAA
This 148-nucleotide non-coding RNA is filed under the name Homo sapiens (human). Lineage: Eukaryota; Metazoa; Chordata; Mammalia; Primates; Hominidae. The record is from Rfam by way of RNAcentral.